UAACCAUCCAUUUCUUUUUAAGGAUGAUGGUAAUAUCCCUUAUGACCAAACUAAGUUAGAUACCAAUGAAAAAAAUAUUAGUGCACAUAAACAACCAUAAUAUAAUCGUAACAUCAAGUACAAUCACUACCACAUAAACUAGAACAGAAUCUAGAUUUGCACUCGGAUCACCUUCAUUCACAGUAGGUUUUUUUUUCUGCAAAAUGCCAACUCCUCAGUUCAACAUCAUGUUCUCAAUGAAGACAUUCAAGCGCUUCACACACUGAAUAGAAAAAAGAGAGAGCUUUCUCAAUUUGAAGCAAUUGCCAGGAGAGACCGUCCCCAGCAUUAGAGGUCCACCCACAAUAGAUGUUUGUUCUGAAUCUGAGAUUUCAUCUUCAUCUCGUCCAAGUAUGUAGACCAGGGCCAGCUUUCUUGCAGCCAAAACACAAGCCACACCUCUACUAGCUGUAGCCAAGAAUAAAUAAUUCAACUUGAUUUCACUCCGAUGGUCCUAUAAUAUGGCCAUAACUAAUGCGAUGUUUUGAUACCUUUGCUGGGUAAAAUUAAUAAGUACAAUACUUGCAUCGCACUAAAACAUAGGCAGGAGCAAAACUUAUGUACCUGAAGAGGCUAUCGUAUGCAUGUGAACCAUGAAUGCUCUACAGUAUCUUUCUAUACUAAAGACCCUAAUAGUAUCUAUCAUCAUGAACAUGUACCUACUAGUUCCUAGUCAGUAACUCAGACUACAAUGAACCUACCAUAAGAAGAUAAUUAUUCUUUCUUUAUUUGUCU
Molecule: long non-coding RNA, 774 nt
Filed under: Eucalyptus grandis
Lineage: Eukaryota; Viridiplantae; Streptophyta; Magnoliopsida; Myrtales; Myrtaceae
Description: long non-coding RNA (EGRA_LNC002820)
Source: RNAcentral